GCCUGGUCUGAAUGCAGUGGCAUUUACAACUAAUUGAUCAUAACUAGUUACAGAUUCCUUUUUCUCUUCUCCACUCCCAUUGCUUCUCUAGAUUAGCCUUUA
Unclassified non-coding RNA from Otolemur garnettii (small-eared galago), 102 nucleotides. It matches the Rfam family "Y RNA". From Rfam's summary of the family: Y RNAs are components of the Ro ribonucleoprotein particle (Ro RNP), in association with Ro60 and La proteins. The Y RNAs and Ro60 and La proteins are well conserved, but the function of the Ro RNP is not known. NCBI's taxonomy places the organism in Eukaryota, Metazoa, Chordata, Mammalia, Primates, Galagidae. The record is from Ensembl.